Molecule: ribosomal RNA, 456 nt
Filed under: uncultured bacterium
Lineage: Bacteria
Description: bacterial SSU rRNA
Rfam family: Bacterial small subunit ribosomal RNA
Source: RNAcentral
UACGGGAGGCAGCAGUGGGGAAUAUUGCACAAUGGGCGCAAGCCUGAUGCAGCCAUGCCGCGUGUAUGAAGAAGGCCUUCGGGUUGUAAAGUACUUUCAGUCGUGAGGAAGGUGUUAAGGUUAAUAACCUUAGCAAUUGACGUUAGCGACAGAAGAAGCACCGGCUAACUCCGUGCCAGCAGCCGCGGUAAUACGGAGGGUGCGAGCGUUGUCCGGAUUUAUUGGGUUUAAAGGGUGCGUAGGCGGCUUUUUUAAGUCUGGGGUGAAAGCCCGCUGCUCAACAGCGGAACUGCCCUGGAUACUGGAGAACUUGAGUACAGACGAGGUUGCGGAAUGGACUGAGUAGCGGUGAAAUGCAUAGAUACAGUCCAGAACCCCGAUUGCGAAGGCAGCUGACUAGGCUGUUACUGACGCUGAGGCACGAAAGCGUGGGGAGCGAACAGGAUUAAGAAUACC